GCUCCCACCAGAGCUUGGAAUCCGUCUCUGCUCUUCUGCAUUCUCCACCUCGGGAGCCCCUGGGGACUCUGUGACGGCCUCUGUUGCCCUGUGAUCUGCAGGUCCGGAGAGACGCACAGCUAAGAUGUCAGGACAUCCUGGAAGCUGGGAAAGGGUCUUGCCAUCUCUAAGCUGGACCUGGUGACCUUUUUGGAGGGAAAGAAAGAGCCCUGGACUGUGAAGAGUGAGGAGACCAUAGCUGCACAGCCAGAGAUGGGGUUCCAUCAUGUUUUCCAGGCUGAUCUCAAACUCCCACGGUCAAGCGAUCUGCUGGCCUCGGCCUCUCAAGUCCAGAUGUAUAAUCUCAUCCCUGAACAUUUCUGAUGGUGUGAUUAUGACAUGUGACUUUAUCUGGCAACAGAGUGAGUUGUUGCUCCCGCCUGAGCCCAGCCCCCAGAAAGGAUUGUGACAUAUCGUUGGACCCAGAAUUGAGGGGGCAUUGUGUCAUAUCGCUGGGCCCCACACAUAGGUUAUGUGACUCUUCUGCCUGUGCCCUGCCCAUGUGGCCCAUUGUGACAUACUGUUGGGUCCCAAACCUAGGUGAUGUAACUCUACUGCUUAGGCCCUGCCUACAGAGGACAUUGUGACAUAUCCCUGCAUCCAUCACACAGGUUUUUGCCCACAGGGGAUAUUGUGACAUGUCACUGGGCCUAAUACUAGGGUGACAGUACUCUUGUGUCAUGGCACUGCCCUCAGCAGGUGUGGUGAUAUAUUACUGGGCCCAGAACAAAUGUGAUAUGAGUCUCCUGCCUGGACCCUGCCUACAAGGUGCAUUGUAACAUAUCUGGGGCCCUUUGACUAUUUUAUUUUAUUUAUUGUAUUAUAUUUUAUUUAUUUUAAUUUUAUUUUUGAGACAGAAUCUCACUCUGUCACCUAGGAUGGAGUGCAGUGGCGUGAUCUCUGCUCACUUCAACCUUUGCCUCCUGGGUUCAAGUGAUUCUCCUGCCUCAGCCUCCUGAGUAGCUGAGACUACAGGUGUGUGCCGCCACGUCUGGCUGAUUUUUGUGUUUUCAGUAGAGACAAGAUAUCACCCUGUUGGCCAGGCCGAUAUCAAACUCCUGACCUCAGCCAGUCCACCCGCCUUGACCUCCCAAUGUGCUGAGAUUACAGGUGUGAACCAUUGCUCUUGGCACCCUUUGACUAUUUUAUGUGACUCUUCUCUCUUACCUGGACAUUGACCAAAUGGGCCCAGCACCAAGGUGAUAUGACUCUCCUCUCCUGCCUGGGCCUUGCCCUUAGAAGAGAGAGUGACUUACUGCUGAAUUUAGCAUACAGGUGAUAUGAUUCUUCUGCUGACUCGCAGAAGUCACUGUAACAUAUAUGUGGGCCCAUUGCUGAGGUUGUGUGACUCUCUUCUCCCUGGGACCUGUCCACAGUAGGGAUUGUGACAUAUUGCUUGGCCAAGCACCUACAUUGUGUGACUUUUUAUUUAUUUAUUUUUUUAAGACAGAGUUUUGCUCUUGUUGCCCAGGCUGGAGUGCAAUACCAUGAUCUUGGCUCAGCUGGGAUUACAGGCAUGCGCCACCACACCUGGCAAAUUUUUUUUAUGUUUUCAGUAGAGAUGGGGUUUCUCCAUGUUAGUCAGGCUGGUCUCAAACUCCCAACCUCAGGUGAGCCGCCUGCCUUGGCCUCCCAAAGUACUGGGAUUCCAGGCAUGAGCCACUGCACCUAGCUUCGAUAUGACUGUCUUCUUAUGCCAGGGCCCUGCCGACUGGAGUGAUUUUGACACAUAGCUGGGGCCAGCUCAAAUGUUAUGUGACUCCACACUUCUUCCUGAGCCCUAUCUGUGAGGGGCACUGUGUCUUAUCUCUGAGACCGUUAAUUAGGUAAUAUAACUUUUAUUUUUUUGAGACAGAGUCUGGCUUUGUUGCCCCGGCUGGAGUGCAGUGGUGUGAUCUUGGUUCACUGCAACUUCCGCCUCCUGGGUUCAAGUGAUUCACCUGCCUCAGCCUCCUGAGUAGCUGGGAUUACAGGUACACAUGCCACCACGCCCAGCUAAUUUUUGUAUUUUUAGUAGAGAUGAAGUUUCACCAUGUUGGCCAGGCUGGUCUCGAAUUCCUGACCUCAAGUGAGCCACCUGCCUUGGCCUCCCAAAGUGCUGGGAUUACAGGCAUGGGCCACCACACCUGGCCAAUGUAACUCUUUUGUUUGGACUGUCUUCUUGGGGUAUUGUGAUAUAUUGCUGGGCCCAGAAUCCGGGUGAUGUGACUCUGCUGUUUCAUCUCUGCACAAAAAGGGAUUGUGACAUACCACUGGGUCAAGAACCUAGAUGAGGUGACUCUCCUCUCCAGCCUGGGACCUGCACACAUUGUGUACUAAGACAUAUCACUGAGUCUAACACCUAGGUAAUGCAACUCUCCUGCAUGGGCCCUGCCCAUAGGGGUAUUAUGAAAUAUCUUUCUGUUAAUCACCUAGGUGAUGCGACACUCCUCUUCUACCUGGGAACUGCCAAAACAAGUAUUGGUACAUAUCACUGGGCCCAGCACAUAGGUGAUGUGACUCUUUUCUCAUGCAUGGGCUCUGCGAACUGGGGUGUUUUUUACAUAUAGUUGGGCCUAAACCCUAGGUCGUGUGAUUCUUUUAUUUUCCUGAGCUGUACUCACAGAGAGCAUUUUGACAUGUUUUUGGGCCCGUAAUUUAGAUGAUGUGACUCUCUUGGAUGGGCCUUCCCCGGAAUGGGUAUUGUGACAUAUUGCUGAGCCCAUUAUAUAGGUGAUGUGACUCUCUUGCAUGGGCCCUCCACAUAAGGGGUAGUGUGACAUAUUGCUGAGCCCAGUAGGUGAUGUGACUCUUCUCUAUGGUUUGGGCUUUGCCCAAGCAGGGAUUGUGAUGUGUUGCUGGACUCACCACCUAUGUGUUGUGACUCUCCUCUUCUGCCUAAGCCCUGCAUGCAUUGUGUGUUGUGACAUGCCUGGAUUCAACACCUAGGUGAUACAACUUUAUGGCAGGGGAACCACCCACAGAAGUAUUGUAUCAUCUUUCCAUCACUUAGGUGAUGUGAUUCUUUUAUUUUUCCUGUUUCUGGCAUAUUUUGGGUAUAGUGACAUACCAUUGAGUUCAACACCCAUGAAAUCGGAGGCUUCUGCCUGAGCCCAGCACAUAAGUGACCUUGUGACAUAUCUUUGCAUUCAUUAUCUAGGAGAUUUAACUCCCCUUUUUGCCUGCACCCUGACCACUGGGAAGAUUGUGGCAAAUCACCGGUCUCAGCAAUCAAGUGAUGUGUUUUUCCUGCCUGGUCCUUGCCCACAGAUCAUUGUAACA
This is a long non-coding RNA of Homo sapiens (human), 3300 nucleotides long. NCBI's taxonomy places the organism in Eukaryota, Metazoa, Chordata, Mammalia, Primates, Hominidae. The record is from Ensembl.